GGCUUGUUGGUCUAGGAGUAUGAUUCUUGCUUAGGGUGCGAGAGGUCCCGGGGUUCAAAUCCUGGACAAGCCC
This 73-nucleotide transfer RNA is filed under the name Chelonia mydas (Green sea turtle). It matches the Rfam family "tRNA". From Rfam's summary of the family: Transfer RNA (tRNA) molecules are approximately 80 nucleotides in length. Lineage: Eukaryota; Metazoa; Chordata; Testudines; Cheloniidae. The record is from Rfam by way of RNAcentral.